AGUGAACGCUGGCGGUAGGCCUAACACAUGCAAGUCGAACGGCAGCACAGUAAGAGCUUGCUCUUACGGGUGGCGAGUGGCGGACGGGUGAGGAAUACAUCGGAAUCUACUUUUUCGUGGGGGAUAACGUAGGGAAACUUACGCUAAUACCGCAUACGACCUACGGGUGAAAGCAGGGGAUCUUCGGACCUUGCGCGAUUGAAUGAGCCGAUGUCGGAUUAGCUAGUUGGCGGGGUAAUGGCCCACCAAGGCGACGAUCCGUAGCUGGUCUGAGAGGAUGAUCAGCCACACUGGAACUGAGACACGGUCCAGACUCCUAAGGGAGGCAGCAGUGGGGAAUAUUGGACAAUGGGCGCAAGCCUGAUCCAGCCAUACCGCGUGGGUGAAGAAGGCCUUCGGGUUGUAAAGCCCUUUUGUUGGGAAAGAAAAGCAGCAGGUUAAUACCCCGCUGUUCUGACGGUACCCAAAGAAUAAGCACCGGCUAACUUCGUG
Molecule: ribosomal RNA, 492 nt
Filed under: uncultured bacterium
Lineage: Bacteria
Description: partial 16S ribosomal RNA
Rfam family: Bacterial small subunit ribosomal RNA
Source: RNAcentral